CCAAUAGCGUAUAUUAAAGUUGUUGCAGUUAAAAAGCUCGUAGUUGAAUUUCGGGAUCAAUAUGUUGGUCGUGCCUUGGUACGUACUAAUUUAUUGGUUUCUUCCUUCUGACGAACCACGAUGUCAUUAAUUUGGUGUCUUGGGGAAUCAGGACUGUUACUUUGAAAAAAUUAGAGUGUUUAAAGCAGGCUCACGCUUGAAUACAUUAGCAUGGAAUAAUGAAAUAGGACGUUUGAUUCUAUUUUGUUGGUUUCUAGGAUCGACGUAAUGAUUAAUAGGGAUAGUUGGGGGCAUUAGUAUUCAAUUGUCAGAGGUGAAAUUCUUGGAUUUAUUGAAGACUAACUACUGCGAAAGCAUUUGCCAAGGAUGUUUUCAUUAAUCAAGAACGAAAGUUAGGGGAUCGAAGACGAUCAGAUACCGUCGUAGUCUUAACCAUAAACUAUGCCGACUAGGGAUCGGAUGAUGUUAAUUUUUUAAUGACUCAUUCGGCGCCUUACG
RNAcentral lists this ribosomal RNA (498 nucleotides) under uncultured Glomeromycotina. Its description in RNAcentral is "partial small subunit ribosomal RNA". It matches the Rfam family "Eukaryotic small subunit ribosomal RNA", at positions 591 to 1092 of the family's 1831-position model. Lineage: Eukaryota; Fungi; Glomeromycota. The record is from RNAcentral.